RNAcentral lists this ribosomal RNA (483 nucleotides) under uncultured bacterium. RNAcentral's name for it is "partial 16S ribosomal RNA". It matches the Rfam family "Bacterial small subunit ribosomal RNA", at positions 28 to 507 of the family's 1533-position model. The record is from RNAcentral.
GACGAACGCUGGCGGCGUGCUUAACACAUGCAAGUCGAACGCUGAAGCUCAGCUUUUGUUGGGUGGAUGAGUGGCGAACGGGUGAGUAACACGUGAGUAACCUGCCUCCUUCUUUGGGAUAACGCCCGGAAACGGGUGCUAAUACUGGAUAUUCACUGGUCUUCGCAUGGGGGUUGGUGGAAAGGGUUUUUCUGGUGGGGGAUGGGCUCGCGGCCUAUCAGCUUGUUGGUGGGGUGAUGGCCUACCAAGGCUUUGACGGGUAGCCGGCCUGAGAGGGUGACCGGUCACAUUGAGACGGAGAUACGGCCCAGACUCCGACGGGAGGCAGCAGUGGGGAAUAUUGCACAAUGGGCGCAAGCCUGAUGCAGCGACGCCGCGUGAGGGAUGGAGGCCUUCGGGUUGUGAACCUCUGUCGCUCAUGGUCAAGCCGCAACAAUGGUUGUGGUGAGGGUAGUGGGUAAAGAAGCGCCGGCUAACUACGUG